This is a non-coding RNA of Macaca mulatta (Rhesus monkey), 8311 nucleotides long. The record is from RefSeq and is a predicted model, not a curated record. Lineage: Eukaryota; Metazoa; Chordata; Mammalia; Primates; Cercopithecidae.
GUUGCAGGACCAAUCCACUCCUCACUAGAUGAUAUUUUUACUCUUAUCUGACCUUAUUGCUGCUCACACUUUAUGUCCCAGGAUGGAAAGAUGAUGGAGGAGUGCCCCCUUAUAAUAGGAAGCACCUGCUUGACUGGAAACCAAAUUCGAGGUGAAGUUGCUUGACCCCAUUCACCCUUCACCAGAUUGUAUCCUCAGCUCUAUCUGAUCUUAUUGCUGCUCAACUCUAUGACCAAAAAUGAUAUCCCAAGAUGAUAGAUGAGAGUUCCCUCAUGAAGUGAAGCCCCUGCUCAGCUGGGAACUGAAUUGAGGAUUAUUGGACCAUCACGUGGAUUCCACAGAGAAGACAGGUGAAGUUGCGGUACCCCAUCCACCUCUCACCAGAUUGUAUACUCAUCCUUAUGUGAUCUUAUUGUUGCUCAUACUCCAUGUCCCAGGAUGAAAUGACAAGAUGAUGGAGGAGGGCCCCCUCAUGAUGUGAAGCACCAGCUCAGUUGGGAACCAAAUUCGAGGGCAAGGUGAUUUAGAUGCUGGUAUGUCUCGGUAUGUCUCCCAGUUCACUGAGAUGUCAUGAUCUGUAGAAUAUUAAAGAACACUAAGGUCUGCAGCCCAAGCAGAGCCACAUAGACAGGCCAACAAAAGGUGUGUUAACUAUAAUCUUAUAAGCAGACUCCACUUACAGGAACACAAACACACACACAAUGGAAUACACACAUGUAGAUGUCCAACACUCCAACAUUCCUUUAAGCUGACUCCACUCACAGUGCACACCCCCCAUACACAAUAACACACAAUGUUACACAUACAUACAGACAUCCAACACUCACAACACUUCCACCAAAACACACACCCUGGCAACUCCUGAGGCUCCAUGUUUCUGCAGAAAGCUGCAUCUGGAAGAGGGCAACCCUGGGAAAAAUAGGGGGACUGUACCUAGAAAUCACAAUGGGUCAAGUUUCAAAAAGAGUCACCCCUAAAAUGUCUAGGCAGACUUCAGGAAUCCUGCAAGUUUUUGGAUCUUUAGGGAUUCCCUGGUUUAUACCUGGGGAUGUGCUUGAUGUCUAUUUAGGCUGGGUCACAUCUGCCCUCUUCUAGGAUCAUGGUACUAACUGGUGGAUCCCACAGAUAAGACAGGUGAGAUUCCACGGCUGACGUACCUCCACAGGAGUCUCCUUCUUUGCCAAGCUGCAGGGACUUGUUGCUAGGCAACAGUGACAUAUAUUGCGAGACCAGUCAGAGUUCACAAUCAGGCCUGGUGCCUGAAGACUAGUACAUGCACAUUUGUGAGGCAGGUUUGGGCACACACAAUACCCAAAAAAAUAAAAAUAAAAAUAAAUAAAUAAAUAAAAAGAGGUAUUGAAGUGCAUUAGCCACAUUCUUAUAAGCAGACUCCACUUACAGGAGCACACACACACACACACACACACACGCACACACAAUGCAACAUACACACACAGACAUACAACACUCCAGCAUUCCUUUUAAGCUCUGUCAGAGCUGUCAGCCUGCCUAAGCAUAGAAAUAUAGAACAGGCAGAGCCAGCCUGGUAUUGGGAAAAAGGCUGCCUGCAAAAACCCACUGCAGGACCUUUAGACAUCAGGGUGCCUUUGGGCCAUCUCCUUUGUUGGGACAUGUGGGAGGGGGAGCCGUUUCCAGAUGGUGAGGUGGUCGCUGGAAACUUCUCUUCUGACUCCAUUGUUGAAAGAGGCUGUGUGCAAGAAUGCAGCCCCACGAAGAUUGGAGGAAAAUAAUCUGGUGUGUUUUUGAGGGUUCUUUGGGUGAUGGAAUCAUACCUGAGAUCCCAGAGGUGAGUGUCAGUGAAAGAGGGCUGGACACUUUAUCUCACUGCCUUUCUUCAUUGUGGGUUCUCUGGAAAAGGCAGGAAACACAACAAAGAAAAGUCCAAAAUAGAGCAGGAUUCUCACUCCUUGAACUGGCCUCUUAUGGGUGCAGAUGAGGUUAGUGUCUCAGAGGCUGUCUGUGGCGAUUGCAAACCUGAAAAGUUGUCCAGUAGUGCUGCUGAGGGGAACUCUGGAUUCCUCAUGAAAGUAAAGAAACAUCAAGGCUCACUUGAGAGAAUGAGCUGCCUUGUGCUGCAGUCUCAGCAGUGUUCAAUGAUUCCUGUCAGAGAACCCAAAUAUCUCAUGCAAAGUGCAAAUAGUCGCAGGUCCCACAAGGAGACAACCACCCACAACCUGGAUCACAGCUAGCCUACCAGAUGUCCCUUUUGCUUUCUGAAAUCACUUGCAACUUAAUGAUCAGCUGCAAGAAGCAGUCCCAUCCAGCAACAUGCCCAUAAAGAGCCCCUCCAAAAUGAGAAGGUCGUACAGAUGAAAUGAAACAGAGGCUAGAUUACCAGGCAAAAGCCAGACAUGGCUGCCUGAUUCUCAUGCUACAGUAAUCAUGCAGGCCUCCAAUAAAAGUGAAAGAACAAGAAUUUCCUUGUUGUUGGCUGUAACAGGAAUUUUCAGUUUUAAAAGUGUCAAACUGCCCAGUCGUUAAAACGUGAGAGUUUAGAAGGAAGCACUCAUGCAAUGGAUUCCCAUGAGGGUCGCUCCCUGUGAACUGGGAAAGGUUUAGUGUGAAGGUCUUUGAGGCCGACCAGGAAUCCCUAAGCCAAGGAGAAAUAUGGAAGUCAGGAGAAGUGGAGGAGAGUCUGGAGGCCACAUCCCACCCAGCAUCAAUUCAUUCCACUCCCAUUUGUCUUUGGGUAUGGAAGUACUCAAAUGGGGAGUUUGCGAGCAUGGCCCCAAUUUGCAAUCCAAAUAUUCAUUGCAAGUUAGAGUACUUUCACCUGAACACCGUGACAUGGUGUGGACUGCUUGUGCAAUUAAUCAAAUGUGGGGAUGAAGCUGGAAGCACCCUCCGUGUCAUCUAUCUUUUUCUUUUUUUUGCAGGUAAAGUUACGACCCACGACGACUCCUCACCAGAUUGUAUACUGACCCCUAUCUGACUUUAUACCUGCUCACACUCUAUGUCUCUCAGAGCUGUCAACCUGACUAAGCAGAGAAAAGUGGUACAGUCAGAGCAGUCCUGGUAUUGGGAAAAACACUGCCUGUGAAAACCCACUGUGGAACCCUGAAUGUUUCAGCCUCAGAGCUCCUUCAAACCAUCUCCAUGUUCAGGUCCUGCUGGAGGAGGAGGCAUUUCGAGACUCUGAGGGAGUCCCUGGACUGCUCUCCUGACUCCAUUAUGGGAAGAGGCUGUGUACAAGAAUCGGGCCCCAUGGGGAUUGGAAUAUAGUCUGGUGUGUUGUUGAGAGUUUUUUUAUGUGAUAGAAUCGUACUUGAGACCCCAGAGGUGGAUGCCAGUGAAUUUUGGAUGGGUUAAUGAUGUCACUGACUUUAUGCUGGGUCCCACACAGGUUCUCUGGGAACCCAGGAAUAAUGAUAAAGGCAAAUUCAAGGUGGAGCAGAGUUCCCACCCUCAAACUGGUCUCUUACAGGUGCAGAUGAGGCUGAGAUGGUGUCUCAGAGGUCGUCUGUGGCAGUGGCAAGCCUAAAAAGUGUGUCCAGUAGUGCUAGUGAGGGGUACCGUGGAACUUCCUACCCAUGAAAGCAAAGAAAAAUCAAGGGGAAGGUGCAGGAUCCCAUCCACUCCUCACCAGAUUGUAUCCUCAUGUCUAUCUGCUCACACUCUCUGUCUCAGAAUAAAGUCCUGAGAUGUUGGAGGAAUGAAGUGACCCCUGACAAUGUGAAGUACCAUCUUAGCUAUGAACUGAAUUGGAGGUAAAUUCAAGGGGUGCCGUGGACAGUACUGCUGGUGUCUCUCCCUCGGAUGGCCACAGGACAAUGCAUCACUGAAAGGCUGGCUCACGUCUGCCCUCUCCUAGGAUUAAGGGACUAUCUCCUGGAUACCAGAGAGAAGACAGGAGAAGGAGGUUUUUAGAGACUGUGAGCUGGUCGCUGGAAAUUUCUCUUCUGUCUCCCUUCCUAAAAGAGGCAGUGUGCAAGAAUUGUGUCCCAUGGGGAUUGGAACGUAGUCUGGUGAGUUGUGGAGCGGUCUUUGGAUGAUAGAAUCAUACCUGAGACCCUAGAUUUGGGUUCCUGCAAAUGAUGGUCAUGUCCUUAGCCUCACUGCCUCCCUUCAUCCAGGGCCUUGCAGGGUCUCUCUGUGAAAUGCAGGAACCACGACAAAGGCAAGUCCAAAAUGGAGCAGUGUUCUAAAAUUUUGAACUGGCCUCUCAUGGGUGCAGAGGAGGUUGAGAUAGUGUCUCAGAGGUCAUCUGUGGCAAUUGAAAGGCUCAAAAGGAUGUCCAGUAGUGCUGUUGAAGGAGCAUUGUGGACUUCCCAAGAAAGAAAAAAAAUCAAAGGUCAUAUGUGAGAAAGAGAUGACCUGUGCUGGAGUCCAAGCAACAUUCAAAGAUUACUGUCAGAGAACUCAAAACCCUUCUGCAAAGUGCAGACAACCUCAGCAUCUACAACGAGCAUCCUGACCCACAACCUGAAGUGCUACCCAACCUACCCAGAGUCCCUUUUUCUCCCUGAAAUCCCUGAAACCAAUAGAUCUGUGGCCAGAGGGGGGCCCAUCCAGCAACAGCCUAAUAACAGAUCCGCUGCACAAUGAGAAAGGAUGUGCAGAUGCAACGAAACACAGCAUAGAUUACCAGGCAAUAUCUAGACAUGGCUGUCUAUUUCUCAUCCUACAGGAAUCAUGCAGCACUCUGAUAAAAGUUGGAGAACAAGAGUUUCCUUGUUGGUGGCUGUAACAGAAAUCUACAGUUUUAAAAUUAUCACAGCUGCCCAGUCAUUAAAAUGUGACAGUGUUUAAAAGAAAACACUCAUGCAAUGGAUUCCGUUGAGGGUCAUCUUCUGUGAACCGGAAGCAUGGAAGACAUUGACCCAGAUCCAGGAAACCCUAGGUCGAUGAGGAACAUGGAAGACAAGAAAAGAAGGGGCAAGUGUGAAGGCCCCACAUCCCACCUUGCAUCUAUCGAUCUCAUCCCCAGCUUGAGCCAAAUAUGAAAGCCCUCAAAUCAAGAGUUUGCCAGGAUGUCCCCAGUUUGCACAUCAAAUGUUCCCUGGAUAUUGCUGUACCCCCACCUGAACACUGAGCCAUGGUGAGGACUGCUUGUGCUAUUAAGGAAAUGUGGGGAUGAUGUUGGAAGCACUUACUGUGUCAUCUGUCUUCACAUUUUUUGCAGGUGAAGGUGUGGUACCCCACUCACUGUCUCCCCCGCCAAUUUCACCCUCACCCCUAUCUGACCUUAUUGCUGCUCAUACUCUCUGUCUCUGAAUGAAAUCCCAAGACAAUCUAGGAAUGCAUUCUCAUGACUAGAAGCACCUGCUCAGCUAGGAACUGAAUUCAAACUAAAUUCAAGGGGCCCUGUGGACAGGACUUCCGGUGUUUCUCCCUGGGAUGGCCAAGGACAAUGAAAUACGGGUGGAUGUCUUUUCUUGGGGUGGUGUGCUCCUUUUCUUUCUAGAACAGUGACUUUUUCUUUUGCAGGCAGAGAUGAUAUCAGAGUCAACUUCGAUGUAUCAGAGUCAACCUCCCAAUUCUCCAUGGAUUCAUGAUCCAGAGGAAAAUAGAAAACACAGAGACCUGCAGCCCAAGCAGAGCCACACAGACAGACCAUCUAAAGGAUAAUGAGACUAUCCCACGGAUCCCACAGAAAAGAGACGAGAGUCCACCACCAAUGCACCUUCAUGGAGGUCUCCUUCUCAGCCAAGCCUCAGGGAUUUGUUGAAAGGAAAUGACGCCAUUCACUGUGAUGCUAGCCAGAGCUCACAGCUCAGCCUAAUACCCUGAGACUAGAGCAUGAGCAUUAGUAUGUGGGCUCAGUUCCUGGCAGUCAGAGCUAUCAGUUUGCAUAAGUAGAUAAAAAUGGUACAGGCAGGGCCGGCCUGGUAUUGGGAAAAAUUGCUGCAUGCAAUAACCUACUGCAGAACCCUGAAAGUCUUGAACUUAAGGCCUCUUUGGGUCAUUCUUGUGGUUGGGUCUCACUGGAGGAGAAGGUGUUUCAAGGCUAUGGAAAGGUCAUUGGGAACUGCUCUUCUGACUCCAUUCCCAAAAGAGGCUAUGUACAAGAAUCGGUUCCCAUGGGAACUGGAAUGUUGUCUGGUGAGUUGUGGAGGGUUCUAUGGGUGUCAGAAUCAUACCUGUGACCACAGAAGUGGGUGUCAGGGAAAGAUGGCUGGUUCCUUAACCUCACUGUGUCUCUUCAUCCCUGGGUCUCAUAGGAGUUCUAUGGGAAAGGCAGGAAAUAGGAUAAAGUCAUGUCCAAGGUAGAGUUGUGUUCUCACACCUUGAACUGGCCUCUCAUGGGUGCAGAUGAAGAUGAGACAGUGUCUCAGAGUUCUUCUGUUUAUUAUUGCAAUCCUGAAAAGGGUGUCAGGUAGUGCUGUUGAAGGACACAAUGGACCACAUGAAAGUAAAGAAAAAUCAAGGCUUAAGUGAGAGAACCAGCUGCCUGGUUCUGGAGUCCAAGCAACAUUAGAAGAUUCCUGUCAGGGGAUGCAAAAGCCCCCUACAAUGUGCAAAUAUCCUCAGCCCCCACAACAAAACCAUGACUCAAAACCUAUAGUGCAGCAAGCCUACCCAAAGUCCAUUUUGCUCCCUGAAAUACCUGGCAGUGAAUAGACAUGAGGCAAGAGUUAGCCCCAUCCAGCAACAGCCCAAUAAAAGAGCCCUUCUCAAUGCAAAAAGACAAGAAGAUAAAGUGAAACAAAGCCUAGAUUCCCAAAGCCAGAUGUGGCUGCCUGCUUCUCAUCCUACAGGCAUCAGGAAGUCCUCUGAUAAAACCUGGAUAACAAGAAUUUCCUUGUUGGUGACUAUAAAAGAAACUUAUGGUUUUAAAAGUAUAAAAACUGUCCAGUUAUUAAAAGUUGCCAGAGUUGAGAAGGAAACACUCACACAAUGGAUUCCCAUGAGGGUAAUCUUCAGUGACUUGGGAAACGUUUAGCAUGGAAGACACUGAGCCAGGACCAGGAAAUCCUAGGCCUAUGAGGAACAUGGAAGCCAAGAAAGGAAGAGGCAAGUGUGGAGGCCACAUCCCACCCAUCAUAUAUCCAUUCCACUCCCAUUUGGCUCUGGGUAUGAAAGCCCUCAAAUCAGGAGUUUGCCAGGAUGGCCCCAAUUUGUAAUCCAAAUGUUCCUUACAAAUUGGAGUACUCCCACAUGAAAAAUGGACCAUGGUUUGGACUGCUUGUGCAAUUAAGGGAAUGUAGAGAUGGAGUUGGAAACACCUGCUGUGUCAUUGGUCUUCAUGUUUUCUGCAGGUGAAGUUGAGGCACCAUAUCCACACCUCACCAGAUUGUAUCAUCACCUCUAUCUGAGCUUAUUGCUGCUCACACAGUAUGUCCCAGGAUGAAAUUCCAAUACCAUGGAGGAGUGCUCCCUCACAAUGUGAAACACCUGCUCAGCUGGGAAUCGAAUUCAAGAUGGAGGUGAUUUUGACACCGGCGGGUCUCAGCCCUCCUCCCGAUUCACUGCAGAUUCAUGAUUCACAUAAAAAGAAAUAACAUGGAGCUUCACAGUUCAAGCAGAACCACACAGACAAGCAAUCAAAAGUUUGGGAGACUCAAAAAAAAAAGAAAGAAAAGAGAAGAAAAAAAAGCAUUGCAGUGAGUUAGGCACAUUCCUUUAAGCAGAAUACACUUUCAGAAUACACGUUCAGGCACACACACACAAACAAACACACAAUGCCACACACACUCGCGAACAUCUAACACUCGCGGACAUCUAACACUCGCAACACUCCCACAGAAACACAAAGCCUGGCACCACCUGAGGCUGUGUGGUUAAACAGGAAGCCCCAUCUCAGGGAUAGCAACCCCAGGGAUCUCAGGCGGGCUGUGCCUGGAUAUCACAGUGGAGCACGUUUCAAAAAGACUCACCCCUACAAUAUCUAGGCAGGCCCGAAGAAUCCUGCCCGUGAUUUGAAAUCCUAAGGGAUUUAGCUUGAGGUUUCUUCAGGCUAGUUCACAGCUGCCCUCUCCUAGGAUCAUGCAACUAUGCUGUGGAUACCACACAGAAGUCAGGUGAGAGCCCAUGGCCGACGCACCUCCACAAAGGUCUCCUUCUCCGCCAAGCCGCAGGAAUUUGCCUUUAGGCACAGUGACAUUCAUUGUGAAGCUAGCCAGAGUUCACAGUCAGGCCUGGUGCCCUGAGACUAGCGCAUGCGCAUUCAUGAGCAGGCUCCGGCGCUGUGCUGUCAGAGCAGACAGCCUGCCUAAGCAGAGAAAAAAAUGAUACAGGCAGAGCCGGCCUCGUAUUGAGAAAAAGGCUGUUGUGAAAACCCACUACGGGUAUAUCCCCAGUAAUGGGAUGGCUGGGUCAUAUGGUACAUCUAGUUCUAGAUCCUUGAGGA